UGUUAUCGACAUGUGAAUUCAUAGCAUGUCAGAAGGCAGACCCGGAGAACUGAAACAUCUUAGUACCCGGAGGAAGAGAAAGAAAAAUCGAUUCCCUGAGUAGCGGCGAGCGAAACGGGAAAAGCCCAAACCAACAAGCUUGCUUGUUGGGGUUGUAGGACACUCUAUACGGAGUUACAAAAGAACAUGUUAGACGAAUCAUCUGGAAAGAUGAAUCAAAGAAGGUAAUAAUCCUGUAGUCGA
RNAcentral lists this ribosomal RNA (243 nucleotides) under Staphylococcus epidermidis. RNAcentral describes it as "partial 23S ribosomal RNA". It matches the Rfam family "Bacterial large subunit ribosomal RNA", at positions 146 to 382 of the family's 2925-position model. Lineage: Bacteria; Bacillati; Bacillota; Bacilli; Caryophanales; Staphylococcaceae. The record is from RNAcentral.